RNAcentral lists this ribosomal RNA (894 nucleotides) under Polypedates leucomystax (Java whipping frog). RNAcentral describes it as "partial 16S ribosomal RNA". It matches the Rfam family "Bacterial large subunit ribosomal RNA", at positions 1112 to 2607 of the family's 2925-position model. Lineage: Eukaryota; Metazoa; Chordata; Amphibia; Anura; Rhacophoridae. The record is from RNAcentral.
GCAGCCACCUUUUAAAACGCGUCAAAGCGUAACCUAAACCCCCCCCAAAAUACCAUUAAUUUUCAUGAACCCCUAAUUUAUAAUGAAUGACUCCAUAUUUAUAUGGAAGACACCAUGCUAGGAUUAGUAACAAGAAUUUAUAAUUCUCCAAAAUGCAAAUAUAAACCAACAUGGAUAGACCAUUGGUAGUUACCGAACCUAAAUUUACUGCAAUAACACCCACAAGAAAACUCUGCAGUACUUACUCGUUAACCUAACACCAGCGCAUUACAGGAAAGAUUAAAAAAAAGAGAAGGAAUUCGGCAAAUGACGGCCCCGCCUGUUUACCAAAAACAUCGCCUCUUGACUUAUAAUAAGAGGUCCAGCCUGCCCAGUGAAUUUUAAACGGCCGCGGUAUCCUAACCGCGCGAAGGUAGCAUAAUCACUUGUUCUUUAAAUGGGGACUCGUAUCAACGGCAUCACGAGGGUUUUACUGUCUCCUCUUUUUGAUCAGUGAAAUUGAUCUUCCCGUGAAGAAGCGGGGAUAUUUUUAUAAGACGAGAAGACCCCAUGGAGCUUUAAACCAAAUAACAACUUAACUACUUAUCCCACAAUAAAUUUAAGCCCUGUUAUAAGGUUUUUGGUUGGGGUGACCGCGGAGUAAAGCACAUCCUCCACGACGGAAAGAACAUAAUCUUUAUUUAAGAACCACACUUCUAGAAAUUAGUAUACUAACGUUUACUGACCCGACAAUCGAUCAACGGACCAAGUUACCCUGGGGAUAACAGCGCAAUCUACUUCAAGAGCUCAUAUCGACAAGUAGGCUUACGACCUCGAUGUUGGAUCAGGGUAUCCCGGUGGUGCAGCCGCUACCGAAGGUUCGUUUGUUCAACGAUUAAAACCCUACGUGAUCUG